Oryza meridionalis is the source of this 207-nucleotide non-coding RNA. The record is from Rfam. NCBI's taxonomy places the organism in Eukaryota, Viridiplantae, Streptophyta, Magnoliopsida, Poales, Poaceae.
UUUUAGUGCAGCCAUAGGCUUUUGUGUUCAAGGUUUGAUCGUUCAUCUUAUUUGAAUUUUUUUAUGAUUAACAUUUUUAUUGUUAUUAGAUGAUAAAAUAUGAAUAAUAUUUUAUGCAUGACAUAUUUUUAAUUUUUUUCUCCAUAAUUCUUUUAAAUAAGACGGACCAUCAAACGUUGGACCACAAAACUCACAGCGACACUUAAA